RNAcentral lists this ribosomal RNA (434 nucleotides) under uncultured bacterium. RNAcentral's name for it is "bacterial SSU rRNA". It matches the Rfam family "Bacterial small subunit ribosomal RNA", at positions 33 to 507 of the family's 1533-position model. The record is from RNAcentral.
CAGAACACGCUGGCGGCAUGCCUAACACAUGCAAGUCGAACGAAGGCUUCGGCCUUAGUGGCGCACGGGUGCGUAACGCGUGGGAACCUGCCCCUCGGUUCGGAAUAACAGUUAGAAAUGACUGCUAAUACCGGAUGAUGACUUCGGUCCAAAGAUUUAUCGCCGAGGGAUGGGCCCGCGUAGGAUUAGCUAGUUGGUGGGGUAAAGGCCUACCAAGGCAACGAUCCUUAGCUGGUCUGAGAGGAUGAUCAGCCACACUGGGACUGAGACACGGCCCAGACUCCUACGGGAGGCAGCAGUGGGGAAUAUUGGACAAUGGGCGAAAGCCUGAUCCAGCAAUGCCGCGUGAGUGAUGAAGGCCUUAGGGUUGUAAAGCUCUUUUACCAGGGAUGAUAAUGACAGUACCUGGAGAAUAAGCUCCGGCUAACUCCGUG